This 991-nucleotide ribosomal RNA is filed under the name Triticum aestivum (bread wheat). RNAcentral's name for it is "partial small subunit ribosomal RNA". The record is from RNAcentral. Lineage: Eukaryota; Viridiplantae; Streptophyta; Magnoliopsida; Poales; Poaceae.
CGCCGCCACCCAUAGAACCCACCUUUCUUCCUCACGAGCGGCGAGCGAUGUCGGACCGCAGAUCUCGCUCUCGCCAUGUCCUCAGCACUGCCGCAGAUAGCCGCGGCAGAUCUGUCGCUCCCUAUUCCAUCAGCGCUGCUGCCAGGGGCUGCCGCAGAUCUGUCGAUCGCUCUGCUGCCGAGGGCCGCCGCAGAUCUGUCGAUCGCUCUGCUGCCCUCAGAUCUCUUGCGUCUACCCUGCCGCCUGGGUACGAUCCGUCGCUUCUUCCUACGUGUACGUGGCCACCGACGCAGAGCUCGCGCGACUCCUUGGUGCGCGGACUCCUGAGAAGCUGGUAGGGCCCAGCCUCUACUGCCAGCACUACGGCGCCGUCCCGGAGCCCGAGGCCAAGCGCGCUGCCGCAGCCAUUGAGGCCGAGGCCUUCGCUGCCAUCUCCGAGUACGCCUCCGGCGUGACCUUGGCCUCCCGCAAGGAGCGUUUCGCCGUCUACAAAAUGUACUUGAAGGAGGCUUGCGAUUGGCUCCUCGGGUUCUUCAAAUCCCGAGCGGCCGCAAGGGGGGCCAUGGUGGAACCGGGGGAUUCGUCGGCGCCUACUUUGGCUCUUGCCGCUUCCACUUCCGAGGAGUAGGGCUUUCAUCAUAUGGGAAUUUAAUUGCUGUUAUUUUGUUGGUUCGUUGGACACUUGUUCAUGAUUUCCUACGUCUAUGGUUAGUACUACUAUAUGCUGUCUAUCAGAGAUUCGCACGCGUGAAAACUUAUGUUUGUUUCUGAAACUCCUUCGCUAUCUAUAAAUAAUAUCGAGAAAGUUAUUAAAGGUGCAUCCUUGCCAUUGCAUAGGUAUAUGUUGUGCAUCAGCAUAUUUGUUUUGGAAUUCUGUUUUUCUGGUUUUAAUAUUUUGGAGUGUGUUGUUUUCCAUGUCGAUCAAGGGAGUAGUAAUACUGUGUUGUGUUAGCUUGGGAUUAAUCUGUUUUCUCUAAAGUGAAAGUGCUGC